This is a long non-coding RNA of Triticum aestivum (bread wheat), 556 nucleotides long. RefSeq lists it as uncharacterized. The transcript has 3 exons. Lineage: Eukaryota; Viridiplantae; Streptophyta; Magnoliopsida; Poales; Poaceae. The record is from RefSeq and is a predicted model, not a curated record.
AUCGAGGGAGGCACAGCCAUGCGUGCACAUAUAUAUACAUGCCGCUGCCUGUCCAUCUAUCUACAUAGUUGCAUACACAGCUCGAACGAACAAAGGAUCACUCCGAGAUCGAUCGAUCCGUCGAUAUGGAGAACGGACAGCCGCAGCCUCCUCCAGGCUACCCGACGGUGGACCCGAAACAGCAGGCCGGCGGCAGGAGGAAAUGCUGCUGCGGGCCGUGGCGCCGCAGGACCAAGCGUGGGGAGACCAGUUUCAUCGAAGGAUGCCUUGCCGCGCUCUGUUGCUGCUGGCUUUGCGAGCUGUGCUGCGAUUGAAGGGGAUGCAUGCAGCAUGCAUGCCCACGGUUACAGAUGACCGCAGGCUCUAGCUGCGGCUCUACGUCGUUGGAGAUCUUACAUAAUUAAUUCGGUCAUGCUCUGCUAGGUGUUUUACGUCAUGAUCUAGUCCUAUGUGGUCUACAAUGCGUAGAUAUCUUGCAUCGUAUCAAGGCCUUGUAUCUUUGUAUCAUCGAAUUUUCUGUAUUUAACAUAUACUACCUAUGGUCGUCUUGCGAUUU